AUGGGGUUUAGGGACCUUCACAGUUUUAAUCUUGCUAUGUUAGCAAAGCAGUGUUGGCGACAACUCCAAAAUCCUGAUUCUCUAUGUGCACGUGUUCUGAGUGACAAGUAUUAUCCAAACGGAGACAUACUGAAGGUAGGGCCUAAAAAGGGCUCACCGUUCACAUGGCAAAGCAUUGUUGCAGCAAUACAGACCUUCAAGAGAGGGUGUAUUUGGCGGGUUGGAUCUGGUUCACACAUUAAUAUCUGGGAUGAUCCUUGGAUUCCCUCUAGUGAGUCAAGAAGAAUCAUCACACCCAAGGGAGGAACUAUGCUGACAAAGGUUCAAGAAUUAAUUAACCCGCACACGGGCCAGUGGUAUGUUGAGCUCCAUCAGGACAUUUUCUUACCUGUGGAUGUUACUAGAAUUGUACAAAUUCCUUUGCAUGUUGAAGCUAUAGAUGAUUUUGUUGCUUGGCAGUUUACCAGGUCUGGUACCUUUUCGGUGCGCUCAGCUUAUCACGUUGAGUUUGACCACCAGUUCGGUCGUCAAUAUGGACGAAUGGAUGCCCUAGGUGGUUCUCAGAUUAACCUAGUGUGGAAAGAACUAUGGCGUCUUCGCGUCCCCGAGAAAAUCAAGCACUUUGGAUGGAAGGUUCUGAAGGGGUGUUGCCAUGCUUCGGUGUUCUAG
Molecule: ribosomal RNA, 669 nt
Filed under: Triticum aestivum (bread wheat)
Lineage: Eukaryota; Viridiplantae; Streptophyta; Magnoliopsida; Poales; Poaceae
Description: partial small subunit ribosomal RNA
Source: RNAcentral